UACAGAGGGUGCGAGCGUUAAUCGGAUUUACUGGGCGUAAAGCGUGUGUAGGCGGUCAAGAAAGUCGGUUGUGAAAUCCCUGGGCUCAACCCGGGAACUGCUUCCGAUACUUCAUGACUCGAAUUCGGUAGAGGGAGGCGGAACUCCAGGUGUAGCGGUGAAAUGCGUAGAUAUCUGGAAGAACACCAAUGGCGAAGGCAACCUCCUGGGCCUGAAUUGACACUGAGACACGAAAGCGUGGGGAUCAAACAGG
RNAcentral lists this ribosomal RNA (253 nucleotides) under uncultured bacterium. RNAcentral describes it as "partial 16S ribosomal RNA". It matches the Rfam family "Bacterial small subunit ribosomal RNA", at positions 524 to 776 of the family's 1533-position model. The record is from RNAcentral.